CCCAGCAGCCAUAUCACCCUGCAGCUCUCAACUGGCUACCCACUAAAACUAAGCAGAGAUGAGGCUGGUCAGUACCUGCAUGGGAGACCUCCUGGGAAGCUAUGGAUGCAGCUGGAA
RNAcentral lists this ribosomal RNA (117 nucleotides) under Lepisosteus oculatus (spotted gar). Lineage: Eukaryota; Metazoa; Chordata; Actinopteri; Semionotiformes; Lepisosteidae. The record is from RNAcentral.